UACGGGGGGGGCAAGCGUUGUUCGGAAUUACUGGGCGUAAAGGGCUCGUAGGCGGUCAACUAAGUCAGACGUGAAAUCCCCAGGCUCAACCUGGGAACUGCGUCUGAUACUGGAUGGCUUGAAUCCGGGAGAGGGAUGCAGAAUUCCAGGUGUAGCGGUGAAAUGCGUAGAUAUCUGGAGGAAUACCGGUGGCGAAGGCGGCAUCCUGGACCGGCAUUGACGCUGAGGAGCGAAAGCCAGGGGAGCAAACGGG
RNAcentral lists this ribosomal RNA (253 nucleotides) under uncultured bacterium. Its description in RNAcentral is "partial 16S ribosomal RNA". It matches the Rfam family "Bacterial small subunit ribosomal RNA", at positions 524 to 776 of the family's 1533-position model. The record is from RNAcentral.